CUUUGCAUACCUGAGGUCUUCUGAAGGCAGGAAAAUAGAAGCAUCUGAACCACACAACAUGAAAUAUUUCUUAGAAUUUUUCUCCAUGGAAAGGAAGAGGCUGUAUAAAGAAGAACUGACAAAUCACUUAUUUCAAAACUGGAAGGAAACUUUUAAAGAGCUCAGAAAAGUUGCACAUAGAGCUAUUUUAAAACUAACAACAGAGUGAUGACAUCUUGGAAUGAAUUCCUAUGGAAUUUGAAAGCAGAAGCAGCUGAACUUCUGUCAGAUCCAGUGACUUCCUAGACACUUCAAUGUCUUGUUCAAAAUGGACAUCCACACCACUUUGCAUGUGAAUAUUUGAAGUUCCAUCUGGCCUAGUAACCCAUUCUACUUCAUCUCUGUUGCAUGAGAAGCACAAAACAUUCUACUACAAUGGGAAUUUAUAUGCAGAUGUGUUUUCCAUUGCAAUCACAAGCAGAUACAAAUUCCUGGAGUGCCUGGGAGCCAGACCUCUAGAGCAGGACCUCAAUGGUU
Molecule: long non-coding RNA, 516 nt
Organism: Tympanuchus pallidicinctus (lesser prairie-chicken)
Lineage: Eukaryota; Metazoa; Chordata; Aves; Galliformes; Phasianidae
Exons: 5
Source: RefSeq, a predicted model, not a curated record